AAAGUAAAAGAGACACUGCCGCAUGUACAAGGGUAAAUCCUUACUGAUCCUGGACAAGGGGUAAGACCAAAACUGUUCUUGGUCACGAUUGAGCUGCUGAAGUGCAUUGGACCACUCCUCAAUGGUUAGACCCUUCUGUGACAACAUAUUUGCUAAUUUUACAAUUAGCAUUGGCAACCCUCCACAUGUUCUCACAAUUUCCUUUCUAAGCGUUUGCAGUUGUUGGGGUAUGUUUACCUUCAAAGCAUGAGUGAACAAUGUCCAGCUCUCAUCGUUUCCUCGUAAUCGAACUGCAUGAUGAACACUCC
This 308-nucleotide long non-coding RNA is filed under the name Vitis vinifera (wine grape). RNAcentral describes it as "long non-coding RNA (VVIN_LNC007373)". Lineage: Eukaryota; Viridiplantae; Streptophyta; Magnoliopsida; Vitales; Vitaceae. The record is from RNAcentral.